Long non-coding RNA from Oncorhynchus keta (chum salmon), 151 nucleotides. RefSeq lists it as uncharacterized. The transcript has 3 exons. The record is from RefSeq and is a predicted model, not a curated record. Lineage: Eukaryota; Metazoa; Chordata; Actinopteri; Salmoniformes; Salmonidae.
CCACCCUACUAAAGCCAAGGUUAGACUGGGAAGAGCAGAGUGCUGACCACCCUACUAAAGCCAAGGUUAGACUGGGGAAAACAGAGUGCCCACCACCCUACUAAAGCCAAGGUUAGACUGGGGAGAGCAGAGUGCCGACCACCCUACUAAA